CCCUGUAGCUCUGUUUGUAGAGCAUGGUGUUUGCAACGCCAGGGUUGUGGGUUCGAUUCCCACAGGGG
This 68-nucleotide transfer RNA is filed under the name Salmo salar (Atlantic salmon). It matches the Rfam family "tRNA". From Rfam's summary of the family: Transfer RNA (tRNA) molecules are approximately 80 nucleotides in length. Their secondary structure includes four short double-helical elements and three loops (D, anti-codon, and T loops). Further hydrogen bonds mediate the characteristic L-shaped molecular structure. tRNAs have two regions of fundamental functional importance: the anti-codon, which is responsible for specific mRNA codon recognition, and the 3' end, to which the tRNAs corresponding amino acid is attached (by aminoacyl-tRNA synthetases). tRNAs cope with the degeneracy of the genetic code in two manners: having more than one tRNA (with a specific anti-codon) for a particular amino acid; and 'wobble' base-pairing, i.e. permitting non-standard base-pairing at the 3rd anti-codon position. The record is from Rfam by way of RNAcentral. Lineage: Eukaryota; Metazoa; Chordata; Actinopteri; Salmoniformes; Salmonidae.